ACUCAAGGGCUGAACCCGUAAAUGUUGCAAAAUUUUGGGAUGACUUGUUGUUAGGGGUGAAAGGCUUAUCAAACUUGGUGAUAGCUGGUUCUCCGCGAAACCUAUGUAAGUAGGGAUGGUUUCUUUUUUUAUGUUAGGUAAAGUAAUUUUAUUUUUUCUUGCGAAAAAAUAGAAACCUUUCAAUUAUCGUAAAUUUUAAAACUAAUCAGACUUUUAGCGCUAAGGUUUAAAGUCAAGAGGGAAACAGCCCAUAUCGGUAAAUAAAGUUGCUAAUUACGUUUAUUUUAAAGACUUUGUCAGCAGCUCUAGGCGAGGUGGGCUUGGAAGCAGUCAUCCUUUAAAGAAAGCGUAAAAGCUCAGCACGGAGAUUGAUUUUUAUUAAAAAUCUAUAUUAAACAAGGUCAAAAAUAUUUUGCAAUAAUAACGUAAACUGAAUUUCCGACAAAGUUAAUUCUUUGNNNNNNNGUAGCGGAGCGAGUUCUAUGUCUUUGAAGCGUUCAUGAGAGUAAACGUUGAGAUAUGAAUUUUGAUUAUGUUAACAUGAGUAAUAGAUAAUUUGUUGAAACAAGUUCGUCGUAUGUCGUGUGGUUUCUUUGUUAGGAUAAACUUACAAAGAAAAACUCGGUGUCUAAGCAAUUGACUAACGUCAGUUGUGAUGGGUAGUAUAUUUCAGAUGAAACGUAAUAUACAAGUGACCGUACAAAAACUAACACAAGUCGACUAGCUGAGUAAGCUAAGACGAAAGAGGUAAUGAUACUAAAGGAACUCUGCAAAAUGAUCCUGUAACUUCGGGACAAAGGAUGCCUUUUAGGUUAAGAAAAGAGGGGGUAACGACUGUUUAAUAAAAACAUAAGACCUUGCUAAGUUUUACGACGAUGUAUAAGGUCUGACACCUGCCCAGUGCUGCAAGGUGAAAUAAGAGUGUUGUGCGCUUUUUAUAAACCCCAGUAAACGGCGGCCGUAACCCUGACGGUCCUAAGGUAGCAAAAUCCCUUGACGGGUAAGUUCCGUCCUGCACGAAUGGUGUAACGAUUGCCCCGCUGUCUCUAGUAUCAACUCUAUGAAAUUGAAGUGGCCGUGAAGAUGCGGUUAGGUACAGCUAGACGGAGAGACCCUAUGCACCUUUACUACGGCCUGUUAUGAAGAACAAGAAAAAAAAAUCUAGGUAUGUAGUUGCUUUAGCAAAAGUGGAAGACUACUUUUUUUUUACUUCUAUUUGACUGCAUGCAGUUUUACNNNNNNNNNGGAGGGUAGUUUGACUGGGGCGGUCGCCUCCAAAAAGGUAACGGAGGUGUGCAUAUGAUUUAAGGCAUACGCAAGUAUAGUUAUUUAAUGAAUUGAUACUUAAGUUUGAUUCUUGUACUUACAAGUAUGAGAAGGGCGCAAGCCUGCCAUAUUGACCCGGUAUUGUGUUGGGAAUUCAAUAUCGAUUAUCGAAUAAAAGGUACGCUAGGGAUAACAGGCUUAUGUUUUCUGAGAGUUCCUAUNGAAGAAAACGUUUGGCACCUCGAUGUCGGCUCAUCAUAUCCUGGUGGUGCAUACGCUGCCAAGGGUUCGGCUGUUCGCCGAUUAAAAUGGUACGUGAGCUGGGUUUAAAACGUCGUGAGACAGUUUGGUCCCUAUCUACUGUAUAUUUAGAACAGGAUACGAUUUUUACCUCAGUACGAGAGGACCGGGGACAGAAAGCCAAUGGUUUAGUAGUUAUUGCUUUAAUGAGUANGCUGUUACGCUAAGCUUUUAUAUAGUAAUUAGUUCUCUAAAAACUUGGUCGUACUUUUGUUCUAAUAGUUUGUUUUAAGAUAACAAAUUAAAAACCUAAGCAGUAAAAAAACAGUAAUGUAUACUGCCAGGUUACAAUUCUAAAUUAGCUGACUAUAAAAACUUCGA
Molecule: ribosomal RNA, 1887 nt
Filed under: Lepidurus arcticus
Lineage: Eukaryota; Metazoa; Arthropoda; Branchiopoda; Notostraca; Triopsidae
Description: bacterial LSU rRNA
Rfam family: Bacterial large subunit ribosomal RNA
Source: RNAcentral